AUACCCUUCACUACCUUUUGGCUGAAAGCAAGUGUAAUAUCUGUUGUUAGCACUUUAAUAUCUGAUGUGCCCUGUAUUCAAAGACAAUGUAUUAUGUGGAUUUUUGGAGCAGGGAGAGGGGAAAGAAAUUCGCUCCAUGCACUCCACACACCCACUUGGUAUUGUAGUACCUCCAGGAGGAAGGAUGCACUCCCU
This 195-nucleotide small nuclear RNA is filed under the name Castor canadensis (American beaver). RNAcentral describes it as "U2 spliceosomal RNA (ENSCCNG00000010958.1)". It matches the Rfam family "U2 spliceosomal RNA". From Rfam's summary of the family: U2 is a small nuclear RNA (snRNA) component of the spliceosome (involved in pre-mRNA splicing). Lineage: Eukaryota; Metazoa; Chordata; Mammalia; Rodentia; Castoridae. The record is from Rfam by way of RNAcentral.